Molecule: ribosomal RNA, 517 nt
Filed under: uncultured bacterium
Lineage: Bacteria
Description: bacterial SSU rRNA
Rfam family: Bacterial small subunit ribosomal RNA
Source: RNAcentral
CUACGUGCCAGCAGCCGCGGUAAUACGUAGGUGGCAAGCGUUGUCCGGAAUUAUUGGGCGUAAAGCGCGCGCAGGCGGAUUGGUCAGUCUGUCUUAAAAGUUCGGGGCUUAACCCUGUGAUGGGAUGGAAACUGCCAAUCUAGAGUAUCGGAGAGGAAAGUGGAAUUCCUAGUGUAGCGGUGAAAUGCGUAGAUAUUAGGAAGAACACCAGUGGCGAAGGCGACUUUCUGGACGAAAACUGACGCUGAGGCGCGAAAGCCAGGGGAGCGAACGGGAUUAGAUACCCCGGUAGUCCUGGCCGUAAACGAUGGGUACUAGGUGUAGGAGGUAUCGACCCCUUCUGUGCCGGAGUUAACGCAAUAAGUACCCCGCCUGGGGAGUACGACCGCAAGGUUGAAACUCAAAGGAAUUGACGGGGGCCCGCACAAGCGGUGGAGUAUGUGGUUUAAUUCGAAGCAACGCGAAGAACCUUACCAGGUCUUGACAUCCCUCUGACCGCUCUAGAGAUAGAGUUUUC